Nicotiana tabacum (common tobacco) is the source of this 957-nucleotide long non-coding RNA. RefSeq lists it as uncharacterized. The record is from RefSeq and is a predicted model, not a curated record. NCBI's taxonomy places the organism in Eukaryota, Viridiplantae, Streptophyta, Magnoliopsida, Solanales, Solanaceae.
CUCACAGUGAACAGACACCAUACCUUUUCACAAAGCCAACAAUUGCCUAUAAAUUCAGGCAUGGCUUCCAUUCUAAGUACUCAGAAAUUUAGAAACUAAAAAAUUACUUUCCUUCUCUGUGCAAGUUCAUUAAUCCAAAAAGUCUUGAGCUUUCUUGUUCCUUGAAAAUUAAAAGAAUGGCAAAUGAGGACCAAACUAAUGCUAAUGGAAUGUGUGCUACUAUUACGAGUGUUGCUGCCUCGUCGAGCCUUUCAACUCCUGCUCAUGCUAUGACACCAGCAGAAAAACCAAGAAAGUUUUCCGAUAUUGACUUCAAACGUUGGCAAAUGAAGAUGCUCUUCUAUCUUACUACGUUGAGUUUGCAGCGAUUCAUCAAGGAGGAUCCUCCGGUCGUGGCUGAAGGCACUCCGGAUGACGAACGAUUUGUUGUAACUGAAGCAUGAAAACAUUCUGAUUUCUUGUACAAAAACUACAUUUUGAGUUGUUUGAAAGAUAACUUGUAUAAUGUCUAUAGUGUCAUGGAAACUUCAAAAGCGUUAUGGAAUGCGCUUGAGAAGAAGUACAAGACUGAGGAUGCUAGACUUAAGAAGUUCGUGGCUGCAAGAUUUUUGGAUUUCAAGAUGGUUGACACUAGGUCGGUCAUAACUCAAGUUUAAGAAUAACAAGUCAUUGUGCAUGACCUCCUUGCUUAAGGUAUGGUCAUAAAUGAGGCCUUUCAAGUCGCCGCUUUCAUUGAGAAGUUACCUCCGUUGUGGAGGGACUUUAAGAACUAUCUAAAACACAAGCGUAAGGAAAUGACACUUGAAGAUUUGAUUGUUCGUUUGAGGAUAGAAGAAGACAACAAAAAUGCUGAAAAGAAGUUACGUGGAAACUCGACAAUAAUAAGGGCUAACAUUGUUGAGGAGGAGCCACAAAAUAAGAAGAGAAAGAAUGCUUCUGGACCAAAGAAUUACCCAA